GUAAAAUUAUUUGAUGGGGUUAGGGUUAUUUGAUUUUGGUGUACCAAUUGGCUUUUUUUUGUGUGCUUCCCUUGCUAUGAUACACAUUUCUGAUGGGAUUGCCAUGCUUUAAGUGUAUGUUUACAUUUUUAAUCAUGUAAUAACUAACAGUCUCAAAGAUGACAUUACUCAGUUCAUGUUGUGUGAAUGUAAUAAUGGCAAACGUUUUUACAAUUUAAAUCAAUUUCAUAUAAAUAAUAUAUAUAUUUAUGUUUCCUCACAAUGUCAAAAGUGCUUGUUAAGUGCGGCAGCUUUUUUUUUAAUACAUUUUACAAUUUUAAUAUGUAAGUUAACAUUAUGUCGAGUCAGCAGGGCUAACAUUAAAACUCGCCGUUUGUAACGUUAUGUUAUGUAUUAACCUUAUAAAAGUCUGUCUAGCUUUAGCAAAUGUAACAUUAUGUCGGUCCUAAUAAAGUUAAAACGUUAUUAACGUUAGCCCUGAAUGUGAAACAUGCAUCAGCCAUCAUAACAUUAACGUUAAAUACCUGUGGUUGACUAACAUUAAUUUAAUAACGUUAGCUGUUAACUUAACGUUACAUCUUACAAGUUACUGUUGCCUCUUGCAAACAAGUAACAGUUAAGUUAACGUUAAAUAAAAGGCUAUUGCAGGUUGGAACCUUUUUUAUACAGUCUAUGGUUUAACUUAGUUAACGUAAUGUUAAGUUAGGACCUGACAAAGACUUGUCUCAGUGGCAGUUUGUUUUUAACUUAACAUUAGCAGUGGCACAUUCAGUCAGUUAACAUUAACGUUAGCUUGAUACGAAUACUAUUAAUCUAGGAAACUUUAUAACGCUACGUUGCUCCUACCGUUAAAGUAAUGUUAAAUUACUGGUAACGUAAAUACUUUACCUGUAACCUGCGCGUAACGUAACGUUACCUCCUAGUUAUACACAUGCCUGGAUUUUAACUUUCUCAGCUGACUAAGUUUGUUCUCCUUUAUAGUGAACCAGACUCAUCGUGAGUGAAAAUAACGAUUUAACAUGAACUUUCAUGUCCUCCUUAUCCAUAGUUUUUGACAGAUUGGACUAGUUAACUUACUUCAACAACUUCUGGGACAAGGCCUGGUGAGAGCCACUACAGAGGAUCAUAGCCAUUGUUGGAAUUCUGAAAGGACGUGGGUGAAUAUCAAUCUGCCAAAUGAACAUUCACAUCUGUAUAUUAAUACUGAUUAUAUAUGAACUUGUUUGUUUGUAACUGGAAAGAACUUAGCUUCUAUUGUUUUUGACUGAAGGACUUGACCGUGUUUUAAGCCUAUGUGCAUUUUCUAUUACCAGUACCUGCUCUGGCCGUGCUCCAUUUUCCAUUGCAGAUCAUACCCAGAGAUAGUACCCCUCAAUGCUGCUGGUCAGCAUAGCAAGGCCACACACAACUGCCGCGAUGUACUGUUCAAUGCGACACACACACCUGCGACCCACAUACAGCUGUCUCUUGAUUUAAGUUAAAACGUUUCAGCAUUACUCAGAAUGUAAAGACAGAUACUUAAAGGUGCUCUAAGCAAUGCCAGGAGUCGUAACUUCUUGUUGACGUUCAAAUUGUUGUCAAACAAAACAGAGGCUAGCUAGACCCUCCCUCCUCCUCAUCCGUGCACUAAGCCCCCCAAACCCCACCCCCAAAUCUUUCUUGUCGGUUAUUGGCUGUAACAGUUUGUUAUGUUUCGUGGUGCGGGUGUGCCCAGUUUGUUUUUCUUGUUGUUUGUGGAGCCUGUGGUGUCUAGAGAGACCGUGUUUUUUUACAGUGUGUUCAGGGGACAGGCAGCUAGCGGAUAGUGAGGAGAUGUUUGCAGGAUGUGACAAAAGAUGUUUUUGGCCUAAAAAACGUGUGACAUCACUUAAGAGCACCUUUAAUUAAUAUAACAUUUAAUUUAACUAAAACAAAUAUCAAAUACAUGUCUAAUACUUCAUCAACGCGUCAUACUCCUGGAAAAGACCCACAUAAAGCGCACAUUUUAAAAUGAUUAAUAUCCACAUCACUGCUGUAUUUUUUUCAGAUGUCAGAUCAAAUUGAGGGGAACAAGCCUGCAUCCCAAUGUGCACACUAUCCAUCCUAAAUAGUAUAUAAGAAAAUACAGUAUAUAUUUUUUGUACGAUAGUUGUUUUUAUAGAACAUCUCUGCAGUGAAUGUUUUUGUUUAAAUAAUUCCAAGGAUAUGAAGUAGAUUAUUAUUUUAACGUUAUUACAUUGCAUUUCUUUGUAGGCCUAUAUUUGAUGGCUUUUUUUAUUCUGAUGCGAGUGAUGUACCGUUUUUACACACUUAUCUCAUUAAAAGGGGAAAAAGUCUGUCCAUCUUCAUUUCUGAAAAUGUGUAACAUUUGAGACCCCAGCUCGGUCACAUUCAUAUUUCAUUAAUGUUAAUUAAAUAACUUGAAGUUCAGAAAGGAGUUAGAACUACCACUUGAGGUGUAGGAAACACUGGGACAUGCCAUUAUGUACAGUAAUAGUACGAUUUGAUUUGACAUUUGAACUUAAAUUGAAGUGUUCAAGCCAUUAAAGGGUUAGUUCAC
Molecule: long non-coding RNA, 2539 nt
Organism: Cyprinus carpio carpio
Lineage: Eukaryota; Metazoa; Chordata; Actinopteri; Cypriniformes; Cyprinidae
Source: Ensembl